This 1507-nucleotide long non-coding RNA is filed under the name Homo sapiens (human). RNAcentral describes it as "HSALNT0244941". The record is from RNAcentral. Lineage: Eukaryota; Metazoa; Chordata; Mammalia; Primates; Hominidae.
UACAAACCCGCGCUUCAUUUUACAAAACAGUAGCUCCAGAGCAGCAUGUAAUUAAACUGGCGAAGGCUUCACCUCCCUGGAAUAACCUGAGCCCAACAGGACCCUGCUAACACCACUGUUCACCAAAUAAAGCGUCUGUGGUCCCAAGCCUAGAGCACCACUGAGGACCCCCUUGCAGCCCAGUUUCCAGGCUGCUGAGGUGCCCCACUGGCCACUGUCCUGGGGUCCAACCUUCAGGCUGGCAGCUGCAUCAGCAUCAUCUGUGACCCUCCUCGAAACACACACCUGGAUUCAGAGAAACACAAUAGGGACAGGGAUGUUGUAUUAUUUAUAACAAGUAGGGCGGGUUGAUUCUAGCACUGCCUCCUGGAGGCACUGGGGAGUCAGGUGCAGGGCACAACUAGACAAGGUGACUGGGCUGCAAGGUAGAGAGUAGAAAGCCGAGCUAACAAAUGGUGCAACUCAGUGAGAAGAUCUACAUGCUCUCCUAAAGGACUGCAUGCUGCGAGACAAUCUUGGGGGCAACGUAGCAAUCAGAUUAUUCAGGAGCAGCUGCAGAAAGCCAGGCUACAAGGCACUAGCUAAUUUCCAUGGGUGACUCUCAAGCUUCAAGACACAAGAAUCACCCAGGGCUAUGCUCAAGGCCAGCCUCUGCCAUAAGGCAUGUUUCCUGCUCUACCUGGAAGGACCAAGCAGAUUCCCUUCUCUGGGGUCCAGCGAUUGAAGAACCUACCACAGAGCUGGGCUGGAAAUUAGGGAUAAGAUUUUAGCUCUUACUCUUCUGCUGCUGAGAACUUGGCCCCGGCCGGCUUCGUAUCUGCACGUAUUUCUGAACUAUUGCAGAUACUCACACAGAACUCCUCCACUGGCUCUUGUUCAGGUCCCUCUACAGCUCUGAGUUAUUUCUGAAAAUCUCUUUUCCAAACAGAUCCCAUAGAGCCUGCCACAUGUUCCCUCUCCCUGGAUCAGGCUGGUCCAGGAAGAAUUGGGGAAUACAGAUGGGCAGACCCCCUGCUUGGGGGAGAUGCAAUUACAAACAGCAGGCCUGAGACUCUGCUUUCAAGUGCCAGAUGGCGGAUUGGAGGCGCCACCCCAGAAGUCUGCUCUGUGCCCACUCCAGACAGAUGUUUAGAUUCUGCAGGGACUCACAGGUCGUUGCCUCCAUUCUUUCCCCAUCCCAUGACGGCACUCAAUGCUUCCCAAGUGUAAACCAUCCAGGAUCAUGCAGGGCAAGCACUGAACAAAACCAGAAGACAGCAUUUAAAGUUCUUACAAACAAUUUGUUACUCUCCUAAUAAAUUGUUUUGCCAAAUAUUCUAUACACUUUCCAGUAUUGGCCUUGAAUUUUUUGCAAUGCUUGACUUUAUAUUAUUAUACUUAUCUGUGUUAUUUUAGUUUUGCUUUUACUGAAAUCUGUAUCAAAAUGUUGAAAUACAAAUUAUUCUCUAUAUCAAAAUAAUUAAUUUGUCUUUUAAAAUUGCUUUCGUUUCAUAUUGACUAUUUUGUU